AGCAGUCGCCGCGGUAAUACAGAGGGUGCGAGCGUUAAUCGGAUUUACUGGGCGUAAAGCGUGCGUAGGCGGCUAAUUGAGUCGGAUGUGAAAUCCCCGAGCUUAACUUGGGAAUUGCAUUCGAUACUGGUUAGCUAGAGUGUGGGAGAGGAUGGUAGAAUUCCAGGUGUAGCGGUGAAAUGCGUAGAGAUCUGGAGGAAUACCGAUGGCGAAGGCAGCCAUCUGGCCUAACACUGACGCUGAGGUACGAAAGCAUGGGGAGCAAACAGGAUUAGAUACCCCGGUAGUCCCUGUCUCUUAUAA
This 303-nucleotide ribosomal RNA is filed under the name uncultured bacterium. RNAcentral describes it as "partial 16S ribosomal RNA". It matches the Rfam family "Bacterial small subunit ribosomal RNA", at positions 507 to 809 of the family's 1533-position model. The record is from RNAcentral.